This is a small nuclear RNA of Suncus etruscus (white-toothed pygmy shrew), 107 nucleotides long. NCBI's taxonomy places the organism in Eukaryota, Metazoa, Chordata, Mammalia, Eulipotyphla, Soricidae. The record is from RefSeq and is a predicted model, not a curated record.
GUGCUUGCUUCGGCAGCACAUAUCCUAAAAUUGGAAGGAUACAGAGAAGAUUAGCAUGGUCUCUGCACAAGGAUGACACACAAAUUCGUGAAUCAACUCAUCAUAUA